GGUUAAGUGAAUAAGGGCGCACGGUGGAUGCCUUGGCACUAGGAGCCGAUGAAGGACGGGACUAAUACCGAUAUGCUUUGGGGAGCUGUAAGUAAGCUAUGAUCCAGAGAUUUCCGAAUGGGGGAACCCAAUAUCUUUUAUAGGAUAUUACUUUUCAGUGAAUACAUAGCUGAUUAGAGGUAGACGCAGAGAACUGAAACAUCUUAGUACCUGCAGGAAGAGAAAGAAAAUUCGAUUCCCUGAGUAGCGGCGAGCGAAACGGGAAGAGCCCAAACCAACAAGCUUGCUUGUUGGGGUUGUAGGACUCCAAUAUGGUAGUCUGUUAGUAUAGUUGAAGGAUUUGGAAAAUUCCGCUAAAGAGGGUGAAAGCCCCGUAGACGAAAUGCUGACAACACCUAGGAGGAUCCUGAGUACGGCGGAACACGAGAAAUUCCGUCGGAAUCCGCGGGGACCAUCCCGCAAGGCUAAAUACUCCCUAGUGACCGAUAGUGAACCAGUACCGUGAGGGAAAGGUGAAAAGCACCCCGGAAGGGGAGUGAAAUAGAUCCUGAAACCGUGUGCCUACAACAAGUCAAAGCUCGUUAAUGAGUGAUGGCGUGCCUUUUGUAGAAUGAACCGGCGAGUUACGAUUGCAUGCGAGGUUAAGUCGAAGAGACGGAGCCGCAGCGAAAGCGAGUCUGAAUAGGGCGAAUGAGUAUGUAGUCGUAGACCCGAAACCAUGUGAUCUACCCAUGUCCAGGUUGAAGGUGCGGUAAAACGCACUGGAGGACCGAACCCACGUACGUUGAAAAGUGCGGGGAUGAGGUGUGGGUAGCGGAGAAAUUCCAAACGAACUUGGAGAUAGCUGGUUCUCUCCGAAAUAGCUUUAGGGCUAGCCUCGGAAUUGAGAAUGAUGGAGGUAGAGCACUGUUUGGACUAGGGGCCCAUCUCGGGUUACCGAAUUCAGAUAAACUCCGAAUGCCAUUCAUUUAUAUCCGGGAGUCAGACUGCGAGUGAUAAGAUCCGUAGUCGAAAGGGAAACAGCCCAGACCACCAGCUAAGGUCCCAAAAUAUAUGUUAAGUGGAAAAGGAUGUGGGGUUGCACAGACAACUAGGAUGUUGGCUUAGAAGCAGCCACCAUUUAAAGAGUGCGUAAUAGCUCACUAGUCGAGUGACCCUGCGCCGAAAAUGUACCGGGGCUAAACAUAUUACCGAAGCUGUGGACUACACCAUUAGGUGUAGUGGUAGGAGAGCGUUCUAAGGGCGUUGAAGGUCGAUCGUGAGGACGGCUGGAGCGCUUAGAAGUGAGAAUGCCGGUAUGAGUAGCGAAAGACAGGUGAGAAUCCUGUCCACCGUAUGACUAAGGUUUCCUGGGGAAGGCUCGUCCGCCCAGGGUUAGUCGGGACCUAAGCCGAGGCCGAUAGGCGUAGGCGAUGGACAACAGGUUGAUAUUCCUGUACCAGUUGUUUUUGUUUGAACAAUGGAGGGACGCAGUAGGCUAAGGAAUGCAUGCGAUUGGAAGUGCAUGUCCAAGCAAUGAGUCUUGAGUAGAGUUAAAUGCUUUACUCUCUAAGGACAAGUUGUGACGGGGAGCGAAAUAAUAGUAGCGAAGUUCCUGAUGUCACACUGCCAAGAAAAGCUUCUAGUGAGAAAACAACUGCCCGUACCGUAAACCGACACAGGUAGUCGAGGAGAGUAUCCUAAGGUGAGCGAGCGAACUCUCGUUAAGGAACUCGGCAAAAUGACCCCGUAACUUCGGGAGAAGGGGUGCUGACUUCGGUCAGCCGCAGUGAAUAGGCCCAAGCGACUGUUUAUCAAAAACACAGGUCUCUGCAAAAUCGUAAGAUGAAGUAUAGGGGCUGACGCCUGCCCGGUGCUGGAAGGUUAAGAGGAUGGGUUAGCUUCGGCGAAGCUCAGAAUUGAAGCCCCAGUAAACGGCGGCCGUAACUAUAACGGUCCUAAGGUAGCGAAAUUCCUUGUCGGGUAAGUUCCGACCCGCACGAAAGGCGUAACGAUUUGG
This 1999-nucleotide ribosomal RNA is filed under the name Klebsiella michiganensis. RNAcentral's name for it is "partial 23S ribosomal RNA". It matches the Rfam family "Bacterial large subunit ribosomal RNA", at positions 1 to 2012 of the family's 2925-position model. Lineage: Bacteria; Pseudomonadati; Pseudomonadota; Gammaproteobacteria; Enterobacterales; Enterobacteriaceae. The record is from RNAcentral.